RNAcentral lists this microRNA precursor (67 nucleotides) under Danaus chrysippus (African queen). RNAcentral's name for it is "mir-33 microRNA precursor family". It matches the Rfam family "mir-33 microRNA precursor family". Lineage: Eukaryota; Metazoa; Arthropoda; Insecta; Lepidoptera; Nymphalidae. RNAcentral also lists the same sequence under 1 other name. The record is from Rfam by way of RNAcentral.
CGGGAGUGCAUUGUAGUUGCAUUGCACCUGUUACAUAUUGUGCAAUAUCACUACAAGGCAAUUCUCG